This is a non-coding RNA of Ochotona princeps (American pika), 122 nucleotides long. The record is from RefSeq and is a predicted model, not a curated record. Lineage: Eukaryota; Metazoa; Chordata; Mammalia; Lagomorpha; Ochotonidae.
AAAGAUUUCUUUGUCAAUUUGCUUUUCAAACAAAAAAAUUGCAUCUUUGAAAAGCAAAACACAUGAUUCCUGCUGAUAGUCUACAUAGUCAACAGUUUUUCUGUGCAAUGGCUUCAUACACA